GACGAACGCUGGCGGCGUGCCUAAUACAUGCAAGUCGAACGCUUCUUUCCUCCCGAGUGCUUGAACUCCAUUGGAACGAGGGGUGGCGGAAGGGAGAGUAAUCCGUGGGUACCCUACCCAUCGGAGGGGGAUCACACUUGGAAACGGGUGCUAAUUCCGCUUAACAGUUUAUGCGGAAUGGAAUAAAAGUGAAAGGCGCUAUCGGGUGUCGUUGAUGGAUGGACCCGCGGUGCAUUAGCUAGUUGGUGAGGUAACGGCUCACCAAGGCCACGAUGCAUAGCCGACGGGAGAGGGUGAUCGGCCACACUGGGACUGAGACACGACCCAGACUCCUACGGGAGGCAGCAGUAGGGAAUCUUCGGCAAUGGACGAAAGUCUGACCGAACAACGCCGCGUGAGUGAAGAAGGUUUUCGGAUCGUAAAACUCUGUUGUUAUAGAAGAACAAGGACGUUAGUAACGGAACGUCCCCUGACGGUAUCUAACCAGAAAGCCACGGCUAACUACGUG
This 508-nucleotide ribosomal RNA is filed under the name uncultured bacterium. Its description in RNAcentral is "partial 16S ribosomal RNA". It matches the Rfam family "Bacterial small subunit ribosomal RNA", at positions 28 to 507 of the family's 1533-position model. The record is from RNAcentral.